Molecule: long non-coding RNA, 2714 nt
Filed under: Bemisia tabaci
Lineage: Eukaryota; Metazoa; Arthropoda; Insecta; Hemiptera; Aleyrodidae
Description: lncRNA ENSSSA1NGG007094
Source: RNAcentral
CCUUAUGUGACAAUACUCUCCUAUUCACAAAUUUUUUGGAGAGAUGAAGUGUGCACAGUCUUCUAGCCAAUUCUUCUAAUCGGUGCGAAAGUUUCAUUUCGAAAUGUGACAACUUUGUUUAAAAAUUACGGUGCGUUUCCUGCUUGCCUGCCAACACUGGAGCGGUCAUUUUUGCAAUAUGGUUUCCGCUGUGUCAAUCAGCAAACAACCCCAGCUUUGGCCUGAAUUUUGCACUUAUCCGUCUUCCGCCAAGUAAAUAGUAAGGUGUUGUGGAUGUUGGUUCUUAUUGUGAGAUCAUUACAUAGAUUAUUGGCUAUCGCGCUCUAUAAAUAUGAAGUUCCGGUCGACACAUCGCGGCCUCAUUUCACACCACGUGUUGAGCUUGCAGGUGCAAGAUGGAAGGUUCGGAGCCAUGGAUGCGUUUUAGCGGAUGGUAUCGCACGGAGACUUGAACGCGAGGCGAGAAAAAUCACCCGUGAACUUGAUUCGAUGAACCGUGGCCGGCUCCGGGCUCGCGUGUUGGAGCAAGCUCAUUAUUUCAGAACACUCGCAAACGAUGCAUAACAAAUAAGGUAAUGUCUCCUCUCCUCAUUCCAUCCACCGCGAUUCCAUCGUGGGAGUCGCACUUUCGUAACUUUUAGGAUAAGCCUCGAGGACUUUAACCUUUAUCCCUUGCCUUUUUCAUUCGACUUGAAUAACUCAAUUAAAAGUAACCAAACAUAUUGAACGCACACUAAGGUUACGUGGUGAUUUACCUCCUAUAUUAACAAAAAAUGUCGUAUACUCCUAUCACCGGGUAUUGUAAAGUUCCUGAAAAAAAGUGCAGCUUUGCAUCAAUGAAUUUCACAUUGUGAGAGGAGAAACUCGUGACUCCCCUUAAAUUUGCCGGAGAAAAAACAGUCGGUAAAACUAAUUCCAAAUCUGUUAAGCUUUUGGAAUGUUACGGGUCAUUGUCCUGAUGUUUUUUUUUAAAAAAUAACCAAAAUAAGUGUAAAUUGCAAGAGAGUCUUGUUACCCUUGUAUCCAUGAUCGCCGAAGUUACAAUUAUUACAGCAAGUGUAAUUAUGAAACCUUCUUACAUGGAACCGCACUAUAGUAGAACAAUUAACUCAACAUUUGACAGCACUUGAAGUGCUUCCACGAUCAUUUUAACACUCGACGAAAGCGAACAAGGAUCUCCUUGCAAUUCGCUCCCAUAUUACUGCCAAUUUUAAAAAAAUCAAAUCACUGACAACAUGUUACGACUCCAUAACCAAGUCCUGAGAGCUUUUAUGAUCUGCAGCUGUUUUACGCUGGUGAACUUAGAAUUUUUAACCCCCCCCCCCCCACACACACACACACACCCUCUCACGAACAUGGAGGCGAAAUAACUGUUUUCACAUAAAGCAUUGUUGAAGACGUAAAUAAUUAUUUAAUUGAGGGGUUAAUUCGUUAUGCAGAGGUGCUUUAAUGCGAAAAGGAGUCCAAUCAAAAUUUUCGUUUGAGAGGUUAGACAACUUAUCUCUACAAAUACAAGAUCGACUUGAAAUGAUUCCAUUCACAUGCAUAAGGAAAAGUUGAUUUUAUUUUUACUCGGUUUUUCCAAAGAAUAUUCGUGGAACACAGGUGAACACCCCCUCCUUACUUACCCCCCAUUAAUAUGGAUCCUCUCACCCAUCUGAAAAGUCCUCAGACAGAGUGAUGAGUAUGUACCAACACGCUGCAAUACUUUACUGUGAGCAUUAGUUUGCCGAAAUUUUCAAGGAAAAAUUAUAUAUGCUAUGUUAACAUUUCACAUUUAACAUUAACAUUUAUACUUUACGGUUCUUAAUUAAUUAUCACAUAAACGUUCCAAAUGCAAAGAAUUAAAGCGAGGACAGUUUUUAAGUCCCGCUCUAAGAGUCCUUAAACAUAAACAUGUAUAAAUGAUCGGUUGUUUAGUUGGAUCUAAUGUGCAAUGAGGAACUACCAUUUCAUAUUCAUCCAUGAAAGUAUACACUUUAACACAGGAAAUAGAAAGGCACAAAUUUUGUUUUUAAAAUCAACCAAAAAUGGUAGUUCUUUAUCGCACAAUGUGGUCUAAUUGAUCUGUAGAAUGUAGUUUAAUUUAGAUGAAGCAGGUACCUUUUUCUUGAAACGUUAAAUCAGAGUAUCGCCGUGGUUCGCUCGUAUCAUCCAAAAAGGUUCCCAGAGCACUAAUUCGUUAUCACUGAAUAAUCCAAGCGAAACGCAACCCGCCAAACACAGAGCCAACCGGAGCUAUCACUAUCACUGUCGAAAACGGAAACGCGGGAAAUCCGAGCGGCGAAAGAAAAACCCGGGGCGGAAAUCAGUGGAAGCCGAAAACUCGCGGUGACGAACGCCGGCGCGGGGGUGGAUGGAAGGCGGGGGGCAACGGUAAAGCUCGGUUUCGGAACCAAAGUCGGGAGCGCGCGGAACUAAAAGUUUGCGGCGGCGGAGGAGCGACUGAGCUUGGGAGGCGAAAGAAAAAUCUGCCGGGCUCGGCGCCCCCCCCCCCCCCGCUGCCCCACGCCGCCGGACCGACCAUAGAGCCACCAUUCAAGCUGUCCCCGGACACCGCCGCCGCUGCGGCCCACGCUCACCUGUGACUCCGCUCGCCCUGUACUUUCCACCGUUGCCAACCGCCCAAAUCCGUCACUCGCCGUCAUCUGGGUUAUUGACCUGUGCACCGGAGAAAAUAAUUCAAUUUCGCAGGGGCAGAUUGGACCGGGUUU